GAUUAACGCUAGCGGCAGGCCUAAUACAUGCAAGUCGAACGGCAGCACGGGUAGCAAUACCUGGUGGCGAGUGGCGCACGGGUGCGUAACGCGUAUGCAAUCUACCUGUAACUGGGGAAUAGCCUUCCGAAAGGAAGAUUAACACCGCAUAAUAUCACGAAACGGCAUCGUUUUGUGAUCAAAUCUCCGGAGGUUACAGAUGAGCAUGCGUGACAUUAGCUAGUUGGUGAGGUAACGGCUCACCAAGGCUACGAUGUCUAGGGGGUCUGAGAGGAUGAUCCCCCACACUGGUACUGAGACACGGACCAGACUCCUACGGGAGGCAGCAGUAAGGAAUAUUGGACAAUGGCCGCAAGGCUGAUCCAGCCAUGCCGCGUGAAGGAUGAAGGUGCUCUGCAUUGUAAACUUCUUUUGUUCGGGAAUAAACUUCCGCACGUGUGCGGAACUGAAUGUACCGAAAGAAUAAGGGACGGCUAACUUCGUG
This 484-nucleotide ribosomal RNA is filed under the name uncultured bacterium. RNAcentral's name for it is "bacterial SSU rRNA". It matches the Rfam family "Bacterial small subunit ribosomal RNA", at positions 28 to 507 of the family's 1533-position model. The record is from RNAcentral.